This is a long non-coding RNA of Cucurbita maxima (winter squash), 1178 nucleotides long. RefSeq lists it as uncharacterized. NCBI's taxonomy places the organism in Eukaryota, Viridiplantae, Streptophyta, Magnoliopsida, Cucurbitales, Cucurbitaceae. The transcript has 2 exons. The record is from RefSeq and is a predicted model, not a curated record.
UAUUUUAUGAAAAAUUAGGUAUUAUUGUAUGCAAAAUUAGUUAAAUUAUUUGUAAUAAGUUUAUAUUAUUUUAUGAAAAAUUAGAUAAGCUAUUUUCGAGAAGAAUUCUAAUUUAUGUUAUGAUUGUGAGACCAAAUCAAGCUUUAGAGAGCAACCUAGCUAGCAUUGAGGUAGACCAACCAAGUAAGUGACUCUACCAUUGGCUCAAUUAAAAUAAUUGUUUUAUGUAUGAUGACACGUGUUCAGUGACCUCGCACGUGUCAUGUGUUGGUUAUGAUUGUUAUGAUGGUAUGAUAUGUUGUCAUGAUGAGUUACAUUAUGAUGAUAGGAAUGUCUCAUCGUAAGUGGCCCUACUAGGCCAGGCCAGAACAGACUAGACCAGACCAAGUGACCCUAUUGACCAAACCAGGCCAGUUAAGUGACCCUACUAGACCAAACCAAGUGACCAGGCUAGACCAAAGCAGAUCGGGCCAGGUAAGUGACCAGGCUAGACCAAAGCAGAUCGGGCCAGGUAAGUGACCAGGCUAGACCAAAGUAGACCGGGCCAGGUAAGUGACCAGGCUAGACCAAAGCAGACCGGGCCAGGUAAGUGACCCUACUAGACCAAACCAUGUGACCAGGCUAGACCAAAGCAGACCGGGCCAGGUAAGUGACCCUACUAGACCAAACCAGACCAGGCCAGGUAAGUGACCCUACUAGACCAAACCAGACCAGGCCAGGUAAGUGACCCUACUAGACCAAACCAGGCCAGGCCAGGUAAGUGACCCUACUAGACCAAACCAAGUGACCAGGCUAGACCAAAGCAGACCAGGCCAGGCGACCCUACCAGACCAAGUAGGUGGCCAUACUAGGCUAGGCCAAACCAGGCCAGUGGCCCUGCUAGGUCAUGCUAGAACAAACCAGACCAGGUAGGUGGCCCUACUAGGCCAUGCCAGACCAGACCAGGUAGGUGGCCCUACUAGGCCAUGCCAUACCAGACCAAACCAAACCAGGUAGGUGGCCCUACUAGGCCAUGCCAGACCAGACCAGACCAGACCAAACCAGGUAGGUGGUCCUACUAGGCCAGACCGAACCAAGUAAGUGGCCCUACUGUCGUCUAGAUAAAAAGAAUUGCCUUUAUAUGAUGUAAUAUGGUAUGAUGACACGAUACAUUAUGAUGAUACCUCAUGUUACAAUAA